CAGCCGCCGCGGUAAUACGAAGGGUGCAAGCGUUAAUCGGAAUUACUGGGCGUAAAGCGUGCGUAGGCGGUGAGUUAAGUCUGCUGUGAAAUCCCCGGGCUCAACCUGGGAAUGGCAGUGGAUACUGGCUCGCUAGAGUGUGUCAGUGGAUGGUGGAAUUCCCGGUGUAGCGGUGAAAUUCGUAGAUAUUCGGAAGAACACCAGUGGCGAAGGCGGCUUACUGGCUCAUACUGGACGCUGAGGUGCGAAAGCGUGGGGAGCAAACAGGAUUAGAUACCCCAGUAGUCCCUGUCUCUUAUAU
This 301-nucleotide ribosomal RNA is filed under the name uncultured bacterium. RNAcentral describes it as "partial 16S ribosomal RNA". It matches the Rfam family "Bacterial small subunit ribosomal RNA", at positions 509 to 809 of the family's 1533-position model. The record is from RNAcentral.